RNAcentral lists this long non-coding RNA (291 nucleotides) under Ictidomys tridecemlineatus (thirteen-lined ground squirrel). RNAcentral's name for it is "lncRNA (ENSSTOG00000032634.1)". The record is from RNAcentral. Lineage: Eukaryota; Metazoa; Chordata; Mammalia; Rodentia; Sciuridae.
CUUGGAGGCAUCUGUUUAUUUUCCUCCUGCCCUACCCGUGCCCUUGCCCCUAGGUCGAUGCUCAAUCUUCCCUGACCUGAGCUUCGUGACCUUCGAUGGGAGUCAUGUAGCCCUGUUCAAGGAGGCCAUCUACAUCCUCAGCCAGAGCCCAGACGAAAUGAUCAGUGUCCAUGUCCUGGACUGCAAAAGUGCCAACCUGGGACAUCUGAACUGGCCCCCAUUCUGUCUGGUGGUACUAAAUGUGACUCACCUGGCCCAUCAGAUCACAGUUGACCGCUUCAAUAGGAAGGU